AGUAAUUUCUAAUUUUGCACAAGCAGCUCUGAUGCAUGCUUAUCUUCUGUCAUACGGAUUGUGUCAAGAUUUAUGAGAGCAACAUGCAGCACUGCUUAUGUUGCCUGUCUUCUGCAUGAGUAUUGGAUUUCUAUUACAACCAGGUUUUAUUUCUUGAUGAAUAUAGGAAUGUGACGUAUUUGAAUGCCAAAGGCAAACUGCUCGAUCGUCACACAAUCUCUGCAUUAAACACGAAAGGAGAAGUGACGGAAGUGAAGGCAUCAAACAUAGUGCUGGCAACCGGUACAAGACCCAAGAUACCAGACGUACCCGGUGCCGCUAAACAUUGCAUUACAAGCGACGAUUUGUUUAUGUUGAGGAAGCCACCUGGCAAAACGCUAGUAGUCGAGCCA
Molecule: long non-coding RNA, 392 nt
Organism: Corticium candelabrum
Lineage: Eukaryota; Metazoa; Porifera; Homoscleromorpha; Homosclerophorida; Plakinidae
Exons: 4
Source: RefSeq, a predicted model, not a curated record